CCAGACCGACUUCUUUUCUGAAAGAAGGAAAACAGAAGCCACAUUUGAUACACGCUGAACUUCUGACCAACCAAAAGGAGGUUAACCACAAGGUCAAAUUCCUUCCUGAUUUUCUGAAGCAAAGCAAGCCCUCCAAGAUGGUUACUGCUAACAUCAUCCUUAUUUUCAAGAUAAAGAAAUUAAGGCACAGAGGGACUAUGUAACUUGUCAAGAACAGCACAGCAAAUGAAGACUCAGCAUUCCUGUCCAGAAGAGGGACAAGCCAACAAGUCCAAAGCCAGCGCCCAGCUUUCCCAGAAGAGGGCGCGCAGUGACCUACCUGAGCUCCAGACAGCCCAGCUGCAGAGCCAUGCCUUCACUGACCUUGCUGGCGUAGCGUUGCAUGUAGUCAUUCCGGAGCUGAUG
Long non-coding RNA from Mus musculus (house mouse), 405 nucleotides. RefSeq annotates it as predicted gene, 52098. The transcript has 4 exons. Lineage: Eukaryota; Metazoa; Chordata; Mammalia; Rodentia; Muridae. The record is from RefSeq and is a predicted model, not a curated record.